RNAcentral lists this ribosomal RNA (500 nucleotides) under uncultured bacterium. RNAcentral describes it as "partial 16S ribosomal RNA". It matches the Rfam family "Bacterial small subunit ribosomal RNA", at positions 30 to 523 of the family's 1533-position model. The record is from RNAcentral.
AUUGAACGCUGGCGGAAUGCUUUACACAUGCAAGUCGAACGGCAGCACGGACUUCGAUCUGGUGGCGAGUGGCGAACGGGUGAGUAAUGUAUCGGAACGUGCCCAGUCGUGGGGGAUAACGUAGUGAAAAUUACGCUAAUACCGCAUACGAUCUAUGGAUGAAAGCGGGGGAUCGCAGGACCUCGCGCGAUUGGAGCGGCCGAUAUCAGAUUAGGUAGUUGGUGGGGUAAAGGCACACCAAGCCAACGAUCUGUAGCUGGUCUGAGAGGACGACAAGCGACACGGGAACUGAGACACGGUCCAGACUCCUCCGGGAGGCAGCAGUGGGGAAUUUUGGACAAUGGGCGAAAGCCUGAUCCAGCCAUUCCGCGUGCAGGAUGAAGGCCCUCGGGUUGUAAACUGCUUUUGUACAGAACGAAAAGGUUUCUACUAAUACUAGGAGCUCAUGACGGUACUGUAAGAAUAAGCACCGGCUAACUACGUGCCAGCAGCCGCCGUAA